RNAcentral lists this ribosomal RNA (143 nucleotides) under uncultured eukaryote. RNAcentral's name for it is "partial small subunit ribosomal RNA". It matches the Rfam family "Bacterial small subunit ribosomal RNA", at positions 1383 to 1525 of the family's 1533-position model. The record is from RNAcentral.
GUACACACCGCCCGUCACACCAUGGGAGUGGGCUGCACCAGAAGCGGCUAGUCUAACCUUCGGGAGAGCGCUUACCACGGUGUGGUCAAUGACUGGGGUGAAGUCGUAACAAGGUAGCCGUAGGUGAACCUGCAGAAGGAUCA